This 467-nucleotide ribosomal RNA is filed under the name uncultured bacterium. RNAcentral's name for it is "partial 16S ribosomal RNA". It matches the Rfam family "Bacterial small subunit ribosomal RNA", at positions 28 to 493 of the family's 1533-position model. The record is from RNAcentral.
GACGAACGCUGGCGGCGUGCUUAACACAUGCAAGUCGAACGGAAAGGCCCUGCUUUUGUGGGGUGCUCGAGUGGCGAACGGGUGAGUAACACGUGAGUAACCUGCCCUUGACUUUGGGAUAACUUCAGGAAACUGGGGCUAAUACCGGAUAGGAGCUCCUGCUGCAUGGUGGGGGUUGGAAAGUUUCGGCGGUUGGGGAUGGACUCGCGGCUUAUCAGCUUGUUGGUGGGGUAGUGGCUUACCAAGGCUUUGACGGGUAGCCGGCCUGAGGGGGUGACCGGCCAAAUUGGGGACAGAGCAGCGCCCCACACCCAGCGGGGGGGAGGAGGUGGGAAUUUUUGGACAGGGGGGGAAGCCAUAUGGAACAACCCCCGAGUGGGGAAUGACGCCUUUGGGGUUUUAACCGGUUUUCCCUUGGGAAAAAGGGUGGUAGAGGUGAAGGGUGAAGGAACAGCGGGAGAACUCGA